CGCCCGCCAGGCCAGCUCUGCGUUCUCACGCCGCGGGACACGCGACGCGAGUCCCCCGGGCAGGGCCCCCACUCACGGCUCCCGAUACCCCAAGGACUGAACAACUGGCAUAAGGAAGGCCUGAUUCCCUUCCAGAUGUCCCCCAAGGACUGAAGCGUUCGGGAAACCACACUGCUCCCUAAUGAAGCCCAGCAGCCACUCCUGUCCACAGCUGUGAGUGAGGCUGUGAGUGUAGUUCGGGUUAGGUCCUGAACCCAGGAGGGGCUGAGAGUCCCUGGGAUCUGCAAUAAUCAUCUCAGGCCAGUGUGGGAUGUUGAUCUUGGAAAGAGCUUCUCCAGCCUUAAUCUCUGAGUCAGCGCUCCCCUAAG
Molecule: long non-coding RNA, 368 nt
Organism: Prionailurus viverrinus (fishing cat)
Lineage: Eukaryota; Metazoa; Chordata; Mammalia; Carnivora; Felidae
Exons: 2
Source: RefSeq, a predicted model, not a curated record